Molecule: long non-coding RNA, 691 nt
Filed under: Zostera marina
Lineage: Eukaryota; Viridiplantae; Streptophyta; Magnoliopsida; Alismatales; Zosteraceae
Description: long non-coding RNA (ZMAR_LNC001427)
Source: RNAcentral
ACCUUCACCUCCACCACCGCUAGUCUACUCACCUCCUCCUCCUCCUCCUUAUAUUUACUCGUCUCCUCCUCCACCGUCACCUAUGGUAUACUCGUCUCCUCCUCCUCCUCCUUAUGUGUACUCGUCACCUCCUCCUCCUCCUUAUGUGUACUCGUCACCUCCUCCUCCUCCUUAUGUGUACUCGUCGCCUCCACCGCCAGCUACAAUACAUUCGUCACCUCCACCUCCAGUAUCCUGGUGGCACCAGCAACCGUCACCUCCUCAUCCAGAACCUUGGUGGCACCAGCAGCCGUCACCUCCUCAUCCAGUACCCUGGUGGCGCCACCAAUCAUCACCUCCUCAUCCAGUACCCUGGUGGCGCCACCAAUCAUCACCUCCCUAUCCUAAAUACUCACCACCGCCGCUGCCUUCGGUUUAAUUUACUCGCCUUCUCCACCAAUCCGGUGCAUAGAACCUCCUUUGCCUCCACCUCUUCCGAUAACACCAAGUCCAUUACUGGCACCGGUCUACGACAGUUCACUGGCUUCCGUUUUCCCCACCACUUCUCGAUGUUGUUGUGAUGAAUGAGCAUGAGAGUGAUAGAAAUUUCAGCAAUGAAUAAAUGAUUGUAUAGAUUGAAUUUGGUUAUUUAAUCUUGGUAUUAAGAAUUGAUUACACUUAAAACAUAAUUAAAUUCUUUUUUUCCCCACAC